This 468-nucleotide ribosomal RNA is filed under the name uncultured bacterium. RNAcentral describes it as "partial 16S ribosomal RNA". It matches the Rfam family "Bacterial small subunit ribosomal RNA", at positions 28 to 507 of the family's 1533-position model. The record is from RNAcentral.
GACGAACGCUGGCGGCGUGCUUAACACAUGCAAGUCGAACGGAAAGGCCCUGCUUUUGUGGGGUGCUCGAGUGGCGAACGGGUGAGUAACACGUGAGUAACCUGCCCUUGACUUUGGGAUAACUUCAGGAAACUGGGGCUGAUACCGGAUAGGAGCUCCUGCUGCAUGGUGGGGGUUGGAAAGUUUCGGCGGUUGGGGAUGGACUCGCGGCUUAUCAGCUUGUUGGUGGGGUAGUGGCUUACCAAGGCUUUGACGGGUAGCCGGCCUGAGAGGGUGACCGGCCACAUUGGGACUGAGAUACGGCCCAGACUCCUACGGGAGGCAGCAGUGGGGAAUAUUGCACAAUGGGCGGAAGCCUGAUGCAGCAACGCCGCGUGCGGGAUGACGGCCUUCGGGUUAUAAACCGCUUUCGCCUGUGACGAAGCGUGAGUGACGGUAAUGGGUAAAGAAGCACCGGCUAACUACGUG